GGGCGUGUGGUCUAGUGGUAUGAUUCUCGCUUUGGGCGUUAGUGCAAGCAUGCGAGAGGCCCUGGGUUCAAUUCCCAGUAUGCCCC
Molecule: transfer RNA, 86 nt
Filed under: Zygosaccharomyces bailii
Lineage: Eukaryota; Fungi; Ascomycota; Saccharomycetes; Saccharomycetales; Saccharomycetaceae
Also listed under: 1 other name
Description: transfer RNA-Pro(TGG)
Rfam family: tRNA
About the family: Transfer RNA (tRNA) molecules are approximately 80 nucleotides in length.
Source: RNAcentral